AGAUCAUUCAAGAUCUGAAUCAAUUUUAUCUUCAAUAUUCUCUAACUAAUUUCUCUCUUCUCUAUUUCUUUUAUUCUGUUCUGUAACCGUCAACUUAGGGUUCCUACCCUAACACAAACAUGGUCAUAACUUCUUGUUUUGGAAAAAGAAGGCAUCAAACUAUGGUAUUUGCAAAUUUGUUAUCUCUUAUGAAAAUGCUUAAAAUGAUUUUUGAGAUGCAGUUUGCAAAACAAUAUUGUUUGGUGGCCCGUGGCACUUAGUAGAGACCCUAUCAUUAAAAGAGGCUUAGGUCUGGACUAAACAUUAGCAUUGUAUGCACCUAGAUCCAUUUGAUAUUAUUGGAAUAAAAUAAGUUACUUAUGAAUCAAAUUGAUAAAAUCAAAAGUAUGGGGUACAAUUGAAAAACAAUGAAAAAUUGGGGAUAUAGUUGAUCAUUAGCAGCGUGCGCGCGCGCGCACACACA
RNAcentral lists this unclassified non-coding RNA (463 nucleotides) under Hevea brasiliensis (rubber tree). The record is from RNAcentral. Lineage: Eukaryota; Viridiplantae; Streptophyta; Magnoliopsida; Malpighiales; Euphorbiaceae.